RNAcentral lists this ribosomal RNA (452 nucleotides) under uncultured bacterium. Its description in RNAcentral is "bacterial SSU rRNA". It matches the Rfam family "Bacterial small subunit ribosomal RNA", at positions 335 to 799 of the family's 1533-position model. The record is from RNAcentral.
ACUCCUACGGGAGGCAGCAGUGGGGAAUAUUGCACAAUGGGCGCAAGCCUGAUGCAGCAACGCCGCGUGAGCGAAGAAGGUCUUCGGAUCGUAAAGCUUCUUUUUCUUAAGGGAAGAAAACUGACGGUACCUAAGGAAUAAGCACCGGCUAAAUACGUGCCAGCAGCCGCGGUAAUACGUAUGGUGCAAGCGUUAUCCGGAAUCACUGGGCGUAAAGGGUGCGUAGGCGGUUUUGCAAGUCAGAAGUGAAAGGCUACGGCUCAACCGUAGUAAGCUUUUGAAACUGCAAGACUAGAGUGCAGGAGAGGAAAGUGGAAUUCCUAGUGUAGAGGUGAAAUUCGUAGAUAUUAGGAGGAACACCAGUGGCGAAGGCGACUUUCUGGACUGUAACUGACGCUGAUGCACGAAAGCGUGGGGAGCGAACAGGAUUAGAUACCCGUGGUAGCACAGAG